This is a long non-coding RNA of Xiphophorus couchianus (Monterrey platyfish), 1016 nucleotides long. RefSeq lists it as uncharacterized. The transcript is spliced from 3 exons. The record is from RefSeq and is a predicted model, not a curated record. Lineage: Eukaryota; Metazoa; Chordata; Actinopteri; Cyprinodontiformes; Poeciliidae.
UAAGGUUCCAUUUGUCUGCUAGUUAAGACAAAUUAAAAGCAUGCAAGUCAUUGUAUUUUGCAUCUGAGUUUACCUUCAGGCACAAAUCCAAACCGAAGGACAAAGAUUUAAAUAAAAAAAAAAAAAAAAAAGAACAGCGUUGCCUCACCUUUGGACGGCAGCUCGGCAUGGAUCCAAGGCAGAUGUGGCCCUGUGUCUCUAAGAGAGAAGAGAAUCAAUGAUCCUUUGCAAAAAGGAACAUCUGGCACAGUCUUAAAGAUGGCAAAUGACACUGGCAUCAGAGUAAUGUACAAAGACAAGCAAGUUUUAUAUUUUAUUGCCGUUAUGUAAUGAUUGACUGGAAGAGCUCAUACGCUUAGUUGCAGGUUGAGUUGUUUAAAGGCAAUAUUGACCUUCGUUUUCUAUUUUGAAUGUUUUCGGCACAGUUAGAGCCUUUUGCAAGCACAGUGUGUCACUGCUCAGGUGUGUUACCUGUUUUGAUAAGGUGGAGUUUGGGUUGACAUGAAAGCAAUCAAGAACACCUGUAGAGCAGGAGGAUCAAAGUCAUUUUAAUUUUGGGCCAAAUCAAGAUCAUGGACGCUCUUAAAGGGCCAGUUGUGCCAGAAUGUAUGGAUAAAACAUAUGAACAUGCUUUUAAAAUAUUAAUAAAUUCUUAAAAUUACAUUAUGUUGACCAUCUUUUCCCAUUGAUCAGUCCCUCCAGGGUUGUGCGAUUGCUUUUGUGAUUAUUUGCAAUAAAAGUCAAAUAUUUGUGAUACUAAUUUAGAAACAUUUGUGCUAACUGCACAUAUGAAUGACGGUAAAUUCGCCAUUUUAUUCCUCACCAGUAUAGAUUAUGGACUAUAAUUUGAAACCAAUUAAAGCUGAGGCAGCUGUUUAGUACAAAUAAGAAUAUUAGCAUCACCUGAACUCAAUGUUUUUCAUAAUUUUUGCCAAAAAAAAAUCUGCAAUAAUUAGCAUUAGCACAAGAAAAGCGUGGGAAUUUGUGGAUUUAUAACUUUCACAAAAGUUUGCAAA